Molecule: ribosomal RNA, 153 nt
Filed under: Metaurostylopsis struederkypkeae
Lineage: Eukaryota; Ciliophora; Spirotrichea; Urostylida; Urostylidae
Description: 5.8S ribosomal RNA
Rfam family: 5.8S ribosomal RNA (bases 32-153)
About the family: 5.8S ribosomal RNA (5.8S rRNA) is a component of the large subunit of the eukaryotic ribosome. It is transcribed by RNA polymerase I as part of the 45S precursor that also contains 18S and 28S rRNA. Functionally, it is thought that 5.8S rRNA may be involved in ribosome translocation.
Source: RNAcentral
UGAAGCUUAAAUAAGACUCUUAUAAAAACCGAAUUCUCAACGAUGGAUAUCUUGGUUCCCAUAACGAUGAAGAACGCAGCGAAGUGCGAUAAGCAGUGCGAAUUGCAGAACCGUGAGUCAUCAGAUUUUUGAACGCAAAUGGCGCCAGUUGGA